GGUGAGGUGUCCGAGUGGCUUAAGGAGCACGCCUGGAAAGUGUGUAUACGGCAACGUAUCGGGGGUUCGAAUCCCCCCCUCACCGCCA
This 88-nucleotide transfer RNA is filed under the name Escherichia coli. RNAcentral describes it as "tRNA-Ser(gga)". It matches the Rfam family "tRNA". From Rfam's summary of the family: Transfer RNA (tRNA) molecules are approximately 80 nucleotides in length. Their secondary structure includes four short double-helical elements and three loops (D, anti-codon, and T loops). Lineage: Bacteria; Pseudomonadati; Pseudomonadota; Gammaproteobacteria; Enterobacterales; Enterobacteriaceae. The record is from RNAcentral. RNAcentral also lists the same sequence under 3 other names.